UACGGGGGGGGCAAGCGUUGUUCGGAAUUACUGGGCGUAAAGGGCUCGUAGGCGGCCAACUAAGUCGGAUGUGAAAUCCCCAGGCUUAACCUGGGAACUGCAUCCGAUACUGGAUGGCUUGAAUUCGGGAGAGGGAUGCAGAAUUCCAGGUGUAGCGGUGAAAUGCGUAGAUAUCUGGAGGAAUACCGGUGGCGAAGGCGGCAUCCUGGACCGGCAUUGACGCUGAGGAGCGAAAGCUAUGGGAGCAAACGGG
This 253-nucleotide ribosomal RNA is filed under the name uncultured bacterium. Its description in RNAcentral is "partial 16S ribosomal RNA". It matches the Rfam family "Bacterial small subunit ribosomal RNA", at positions 524 to 776 of the family's 1533-position model. The record is from RNAcentral.